AUGCAUGGGCCCCCAUAUCAGGGCUGGCCCCUGCUGGGAGGGCAUAUGGGCUGCUUUGUUGGCAGGAAGGGAGUGUGUGUGCAGGGUCCACCAAUCACUGCCCUCGCCUGGGGAGUUAAACAAAUUGAUUGGCAGGCUAGUGGCGGCCAGUUCCAGACACUGUGGUCCCUAUUCAUCUCGACACAGAGCACACAAACAGGUCAUGUGAGGACAAUGGUAGAACUCAGGGGACCUCUAGGGUCUGUUCUUGACCCCAUUAAUUGAUUUGCCGUUUUAGAACACCUCUUCAGAGGCACCUGUCAGAAAAUCCAAAGAAGGCUAACCAUUUGAGUAGUCUAUCUGGACACCACAAUAGUCGCACUAAAUAGAGAGGUUGUCGGGUGGUUGAAUAAAGACAAAAUAUCAAGAGAGACAGAGAGAGCACUUUACAUUCACAGCUCGGUGGACGGAAGUGGAACUCAGUAGUUAGCAUGCGACGGCAAUCAACACAGUACUAAUAGGCAUCAAAAUGGGCAAGCAGUGAACGUGAUAAAAGAAAUUGGUUUGAGAUCAAUUGUGCUAUUCUUACUGAUAGAACUUCUCUACUUAUUACGAAGUGAUGGACGCAUCGGUCACACAAAUGGAUGGAAGUAGGGUUGGAUGGACAGACGAAUGAAUGAAUGUUAGUGGAGUUAAUGGUAUAGAAGCAGAUGCUGUCUACAGCCUCUGUUAGUGUAGCCCCCCUUGCUGUUGACGUCUCGAUAAAAGACCUUCCCCCUUCAGGUCACUUCAGUUGCCUGCUAUGUUUUGUCUCAUACCCCCCCCCCCCAUCAACCCACCAUUGCAAUUAUAAUGCCUCUGCUUUUUUCCCUUGUUUUUUCUUGUGUGUUUAGUCCUUUGACUGGAAAGGCAAAGUUCACACUGUGAUGUAGAGUAUUAAAGAUGGGUUGGAAAGUGUGGUUAUAGUCAUUUUUUUGUGACUUUGAUCAAUGGAGCAAAUAACAGCAGGAGUGUAUAGUGUGGGGGCAGAGAGGCCUCCCAGUGGGGAGGCCAAAGACUCAGCUAUGCCUCUAUCUGUGAGAGGACCUAAAAGACACCAGCUACCUCCAUCUGAUCUGAUUGUUUUUUGUUAGGCUGUAUUAUAUUUUAAAUGUGGCCCAUAUCAGAUUCCAGCGUGAACAAGUCACGGUCCUGAAGUGACCCACAUGAUGAAUGUUGAUCCAGAGUGAUGUAAAUGUCACAUGAAUUCUGAUAUGACCUGUAUCUGAGUGGCCCAGAACUGAAAAAGAUCAUAUUCCAUGUAAUUUGUGUUGUUCACACUGUCAUAAACAAACUGAUCUGACUGAAGACACAAAUGACCAAAAAAAAAAAAAAAAAAGAGAUUUGGAUCAUCUCAGUAGACAGGGUGUAAGUCUGCAGCCACGGUAGAGGCUUUUUGAGACUGCUUAGGGACGGCACUCCUUAGUUCCACCUAAGUUUAAAGUGUUGGCACUACACUGUAAAAAAGGAUACGAGGUUUUAGUUACCUCAGCUCAUUUCCUUCAGUCAGUUUAACUAAAAUGUGUACUUGAAAUAUCAAGUUUUUCUGCGCCCAACUAAUCAGUUCAAUCAGAGUCGUUCAGGCAACAUACAUUUCUUAGUUGACUCAACUUAUGUACGUGUGGCCCCUGCAAAAGUGCAUAUGCAACCCCACACAGCCAACAAGGGCUAUACACCUCCAUGUGCCAAAAUAAACUUCCUUUUCGGAUCAGGAGGAGGAAGAUCAAGGUAAGAACACACUUUUAGCCUGCUUGUAUUUAUCAAAAUGCUUGGUUAAGUAUUGUUAGAUAGAUAAAUUAGAUAAAUGUUACACUGAAAUUUUCAAAUUAAACCUGGCAGCAGCAGUUUUUAGUAACAUCAGAUCUUUUAUGGUGAAUUUUAAAAUUUUUAGUUGCUGUAGUUGGUAACAUGAACAGUAGUAGUAACAGUAGCUCAACUAUGGAUUUAUAUUUGUGCAUCAUAUCUGAGUGUGUUACGGAAGCCGUAAGCAGUCAUGCAUUCAUACAUUUUAUUUCCUCCGUUUUCUCAUAAUAACAAGUUAAUUUGACUUUGUUUUCCUAAAAUAACAAGAUAAUUAAUUCGAGAUCUCAAGAUAACAAAUCAGAUAUAAUAGGCCUGAGAGUGUGCAGUGAAUGUGUGUGUAUGGCGAAGCAACAGAGCAGGUUAGCAGUAGGAGUUUGGUUAGAAAGAAAUGUACAGUAUGUUGCAAUACACACUUAAAUAAAAGGCUACAGUGUUUCAAAGUCUGGCAGCCAAGCAGCAAAGUUUAACACCAGAAAAGCAAAGUCUUAUUAUCCCAAGAUCGCUGGAUAAUUAUCCCGUUAUCUCGAGGAAACAAAUGAAAUUAAUUCCUAAUCACAAGAAAAUGGAGGAAAUAAAAUGUAUGAAUGCAUGACUUCUUAGGGCUUCCAUAGUGUGUGACUUUAAGAACAGAAGUUUUGGCCUGUGAGAGCCAAAGCUGACCUCUUUGCUCUCAAUGUAUUUUAUGUUGUAAGGAAACCACUGAUACGACUAAUAAUUGCUUUUGUCCUUACAGAUCAGUGCAGAGUUUAUGCGACUGGUUUCGACUGAACUCCACGGGUCUUUCUUUGAUGGACUGGACGAAUAUGUCCUGAGCCUGCUCAAAAUGUACAGAGCGAAGUAGCACCAGUGCACCCCUGCGUACUCUGCUUCAGCCCCUUGACAUACAAGUAAGGACAGUAAAGAUUUUUACUACAUUGUGUUAUGACAUAUGAUGCUUUAUAAUGCUACAAUGUCAUGUAAACAGCCAAACAUCUUAAAGUGUCAUUUUGACAGAACAGCCAUGUCUCAUUUAACAUGUACCAGAUUGUAAAUCUGUUCUAAACCACAGUUUAAUUUGUCGCUAAGUGACACAGCAGCAACCCCAGUGUUCUCAGAAUUGACAUGGGCAUGCUUGAUUACAAUUUUUCUUCUUUUGUUGUUGUUGUGCUAUGAGACUUCAAAUCAGAAGAGAAGAGCAGUUGCUUUGCUUGGACUUCCAUACUACCUGAAGGAGGAUCCUUCAAGUUUCGUCUGUGUCUGCAAGGUGUGUGAAUUAAUUUCAUUGGCGUGGGAAACUUGUUAUGUGUAAAUAUCAAUGUUUGUUGUUGUUUUUCACCAUGUUAAAGAUAUGUCAGAUUUAGGGGACUCUAUUUACAGAAUAUGGCAGAAAUUAAUUAUAAUACUCUAAACUAUGUUUUCAUUUGUGUAUAAUCACCUGAAAAUGUCUUAAAGUGAGCCUUUUAUAUCUACAAAAUAAAAAAUCACAGUCCUGAGACUUUUUUUUCUGUUAAAAUUAUCU
This 3319-nucleotide long non-coding RNA is filed under the name Dicentrarchus labrax (European seabass). Its description in RNAcentral is "lncRNA (ENSDLAG00005034276.1)". The record is from RNAcentral. Lineage: Eukaryota; Metazoa; Chordata; Actinopteri; Moronidae.